AGAGUUUGAUCCUGGCUCAGAUUGAACGCUGGCGGCAUGCCUAACACAUGCAAGUCGAACGGUAACAGCGGGAGCUUGCUCCUGGCUGACGAGUGGCGGACGGGGGAGUAACGCGUAGGAAUCUGCCUGAUAGAUGGGGACAACUCAUACCGCAUAAGCCCUACGGUGGAAAGAUUUAUUGCCAAAAGACGGACCCGCGUUGGAUUAGCUAGUUGGUGAGGAAAUGGCUCACCAAGGCGACGAUCCAUAGCUGGUUUGAGAGGAUGAUCAGCCACACUGGAACUGAGACACGGUCCAGACUCCUACGGGAGGCAGCAGUGGGGAAUAUUGCACAAUGGAGGAAACUCUGAUGCAGCCAUGCCGCGUGAGUGAAGAAGGCCUUAGGGUUGUAAAACUCUUUCACCAGGGAAGAUGAUGACGGUACCUGGAGAAGAAGCACCGGCUAACUCCGUGCCAGCAGCCGCGGUAAUACGGAGUGUGCUAGCGUAGUUCGGAAUUACUGGGCGUAAAGGGCUCGCAGGCGGUACGGAAAGUAUAGGGUGAAAUCCCAGGGCUUAACCCUGGAACUGCCUUAUAAACUCCCGGUCUUGAGUUCGAGAGAGGUGAGUGGAAUUCCGAGUGUAGAGGUGAAAUUCGUAGAUAUUCGGAGGAACACCAGUGGCGAAGGCGGCUCACUGGCUCGAUACUGACGCUGAGGUACGAAAGUGUGGGGAGCAAACAGGAUUAGAUACCCUGGUAGUCCACACCGUAAACGAUGAAUGCCAGUCGUCGGGUAGCAUGCUAUUCGGUGACACACCUAACGGAUUAAGCAUUCCGCCUGGGGAGUACGGUCGCAAGAUUAAAACUCAAAGGAAUUGACGGGGGCCCGCACAAGCGGUGGAGCAUGUGGUUUAAUUCGAAGCUUAUCGCAGAACCUUACCAACCCUUUACAUCCUAUGACAACCCGAGAGAUCGGGCUUUCCUUCUCGGGACAUCGUGACAGGUGCUGCAUGGCUGUCGUCAGCUCGUGUCGUGAGAUGUUCAGUUAAUUCCGGCAACGAGCGCAACCCAACCCUUAGUUGCCAGCAGUUCGGCUGGGCACUCUAGGGGAACUGCCCGUGAUAAGCGGGAGGAAGGUGUGGAUGACGUCAAGUCCUCAUGGCCCUUACGGGUUGGGCUACACACGUGCUACAAUGGUGGUGACAGUGGGUUAAUCCCCAAAAGCCAUCUCAGUUCGGAUUGUCGUCUGCAACUCGACGGCAUGAAGUCGGAAUCGCUAGUAAUCGCGUAACAGCAUGACGCGGUGAAUACGUUCCCGGGCCUUGUACACACCGCCCGUCACACCAUGGGAGUUGGGUCUACCCGACGGCCGUGCGCUAACCUUUUGGAGGCAGCGGACCACGGUAGGAUCAGCGACUGGGGUGAAGUCGUAACAAGGUAACC
RNAcentral lists this ribosomal RNA (1422 nucleotides) under uncultured prokaryote. RNAcentral's name for it is "partial 16S ribosomal RNA". It matches the Rfam family "Bacterial small subunit ribosomal RNA". The record is from RNAcentral.